UUUUUUUUCCUGUGCUUCCGACCCACACAAGGAAGAAAGAGUUUGGCACGCUUGACAACUCCAAUCAUCUGUGAUCAUUUGCUUGUUUUUUUGUUGCGUGUACGCUAGUAUAUCCAUUAAAUUAUUUUGUUCGCAUUCGUCAUGAAGCACACUUUUUUACACAUAUUAAUAUCGUUUAGAAAACUUUAGAUAUAGCGAAUCGAAUUACAUAAUUAUGUGAGAGAAUCAGCAAACCCCAACCGACGAGGUAACCCGACCAUCAUUAAAUCAUCAGUUGCAUUUUUCAGGAAGCCCAGAACAAGCAAUCUAGAUCCGUCCCACCGAUUCGGGUUUUAAUAAACAGGUGAGGGAGAACGAUGGAUCGAAUGGCACUAACGAGAUCAUUUGGUUUUACAGGAAGGUUAAGGGGAACACUUGAGGAAAAGCUUUACAAAGUUGAUACUUGAGUUGAUAUCCUUCAAAAUCAACUGGGCCGUAAGGUUUGGCACAUGGUCAGACCGGCCUAUGUGACUAUAUCCCAUCCGGCCUGUUUUUUAGAACACACCCGGCCUGUUAUUGUUCGCCACCUCUAGUACUGGACCUUUUUACUGCUUAUUGCUGAGCCCACAGCUGGCCUAGCUGUAUUUGCAGCCCAGGUUGGUGUCUGGUGUUUCGGACUUGCAGUCCACUCCGAACGAAGUGACUAUCUAGGACACAGGUACCCCUAAAAAGAAAAUCUAGGACACAGGUGACUGAAAAAUAAUAAAGUAAAGUAGUACGUAAUAAAGUUUUAGACAUUUUUUAUUUUACCACUAAAUUGCAACUUGGAAAAAAAAAACUGCAACUACAAACAAGCACGGCUGCAACAAAAAUAAAACUAAAGAAUUAACAAAAAUAUGUAACUAACAAGAAACAAAUAACAAACAGAAAUGGCAGAAACUUUAACAAAAAUUCUAAAACUUUGCAAAAGUGACAUUGACAUCAUAAAAAGCGACCGAGACACCAUUGAGAAAAAGUGACUAAAACUUCAACAACAAAGAGAAGUGUUUGCACGGCCACAUCCUCCCCUUUCAUGCUAAGACUCGGUGAAGAUCUUUACUAUCUCUAAAUUUAUAGUUGAUGGUAUCGACACUUGCUAGUUGACAUAAAUCUCACCACUAGAUAAUUGUUGCACCCACAUGUGUCCAAUGCAAAAGCAACCUGAUUUGACACCCGCGAAUAUUCCUUCUUGAUAUAUAUUUAGGACAUGACUAAUCGAUUAUGCCGUAAAUCUAAUUCUCAUGGUCUUAUCAGAAUAGCAACCAUGUACGCAAAAUGCAGGUUUUACACACAUUAUAACAUACAAAAUAUAUAUUGUAAUACUGAGACAUUUGUAAUUGGGGAUCGAGAGCAGUUUAUAACACACAUAAUAUGUCCUGACAUAUACAUCUGAGAGACCAAGAGAAGG
Molecule: long non-coding RNA, 1426 nt
Filed under: Brachypodium distachyon (stiff brome)
Lineage: Eukaryota; Viridiplantae; Streptophyta; Magnoliopsida; Poales; Poaceae
Description: long non-coding RNA (BDIS_LNC002663)
Source: RNAcentral